CCUACGGGAGGCAGCAGUAGGGAAUAUUGCACAAUGGGGGAAACCCUGAAGCAGCAACGCCGCGUGGAGGAUGAAGGUUUUCGGAUUGUAAACUCCUUUUGUUAGAGAAGAUAAUGACGGUAUCUAACGAAUAAGCACCGGCUAACUCCGUGCCAGCAGCCGCGGUAAUACGGAGGGUGCAAGCGUUACUCGGAAUCACUGGGCGUAAAGAGGGCGUAGGCGGGAUAGCAAGUCAGAUGUGAAAUCCUAUGGCUUAACCAUAGAACUGCAUUUGAAACUGUUAGUCUAGAGUAUGGGAGAGGUAGGUGGAAUUCGUGGUGUAGGGGUGAAAUCCGUAGAGAUCAAGAGGAAUACUCAUUGCGAAGGCGACCUGCUAGAACAUAACUGACGCUGAUGCGCGAAAGCGUGGGGAGCAAACAGGAUUAGAUACCCGAGUAGUC
RNAcentral lists this ribosomal RNA (440 nucleotides) under uncultured bacterium. RNAcentral describes it as "partial 16S ribosomal RNA". It matches the Rfam family "Bacterial small subunit ribosomal RNA", at positions 338 to 795 of the family's 1533-position model. The record is from RNAcentral.